GAUGAACGCUGGCGGCGUGCCUAAUACAUGCAAGUCGAGCGAACAGACGGGGAGCUUGCUCCUCUGACGUUAGCGGCGGACGGGUGAGUAACACGUGGAUAACCUACCUAUAAGACUGGGAUAACUUCGGGAAACCGGAGCUAAUACCGGAUAAUAUAUUGAACCGCAUGGUUCAAUAGCGAAAGACGGUUUUGCUGUCACUUAUAGAUGGAUCCGCGCCGCAUUAGCUAGUUGGUAAGGUAACGGCUUACCAAGGCAACGAUGCGUAGCCGACCUGAGAGGGUGAUCGGCCACACUGGAACUGAGACACGGUCCAGACUCCUACGGGAGGCAGCAGUAGGGAAUCUUCCGCAAAGGGCGAAAGCCUGACGGAGCAACGCCGCGUGAGUGAUGAAGGUCUUCGGAUCGUAAAACUCUGUUAUUAGGGAAGAACAAAUGUGUAAGUAACUAUGCACGUCUUGACGGUACCUAAUCAGAAAGCCACGGCUAACUACGUG
This 497-nucleotide ribosomal RNA is filed under the name uncultured bacterium. Its description in RNAcentral is "partial 16S ribosomal RNA". It matches the Rfam family "Bacterial small subunit ribosomal RNA", at positions 28 to 507 of the family's 1533-position model. The record is from RNAcentral.